RNAcentral lists this ribosomal RNA (441 nucleotides) under uncultured bacterium. RNAcentral's name for it is "partial 16S ribosomal RNA". It matches the Rfam family "Bacterial small subunit ribosomal RNA", at positions 338 to 795 of the family's 1533-position model. The record is from RNAcentral.
CCUACGUGUGGCAGCAGUGGGGGAUAUUGCACAAUGGGGGGAACCCUGAUGCAGCGACGCCGCGUGGGUGAAGGAGUGCUUCGGCAUGUAAAGCCCUAUCGGCAGGGAAGAAGCAAGACGGUACCUGACUAAGAAGCCUCGGCUAACUACGUGCCAGCAGCCGCGGUAAGACGUAGGGGGCGAGCGUUAUCCGGAUUCGCUGGGUGUAAAGGGAGAGUAGGCGGUCAUGCAAGCCAGGGGUGAAAGCCCCGGGCCCAACCCGGGAACUGCCCUUGAAACGGGGUGGCGAGAGUGCGGGAGGGGCGGGCGGAAUGCGUGGGGUAGCGGUGAAAUGCGUAGAUAUAAGGAGGAACACCAGCGGCGAAGGCGACCAUCUGGAACACGACGGACGUUGAGGCUCGAAAGCGUGGGGAGCGAACAGGAUUAGAUACCCUUGUAGGC